RNAcentral lists this microRNA precursor (104 nucleotides) under Marmota monax (woodchuck). Lineage: Eukaryota; Metazoa; Chordata; Mammalia; Rodentia; Sciuridae. The record is from RNAcentral.
CCAGGAAGCUUCCAGGAAUCUUGCUGAAAAGUAGGUUCUGGUUCAGUGGGUCAGGAGUAGUGUCUGAGAGUCUGUAUUUCCAACAACUUGCAAGAGAUGCCAGU